ACACCUUGCAAAAUGCAUCACGCA
Molecule: non-coding RNA, 24 nt
Filed under: Arabidopsis thaliana (thale cress)
Lineage: Eukaryota; Viridiplantae; Streptophyta; Magnoliopsida; Brassicales; Brassicaceae
Source: RNAcentral